CCUACGGGGGGCUGCAGUGGGGAAUUUUGGACAAUGGGGGCAACCCUGAUCCAGCCAUUCCGCGUGAGUGAAGAAGGCCUUCGGGUUGUAAAGCUCUUUUGUCCGGAGCGAAACGGGCGGCCCUAAUACGGUCGUCUACUGACGGUACCGGAAGAAUAAGCACCGGCUAACUACGUGCCAGCAGCCGCGGUAAUACGUAGGGUGCGAGCGUUAAUCGGAACGUGUGGGCGUAAUGCGUGAGGCCACGGUUGAAAUCCCCGGGCGCAACCUGGGAAUGGCAUUUGGGACUGCAAGGCUGGAGUGUGGCAGAGGGGACUAGAAUUCCUGGUGUAGCAGUGAAAUGCGUAGAUAUCAGGAGGAAUACCGAUGGCGAAGGCAGGUCCCUGGGUUAACACUGACGCUCAUGCACGAAAGCGUGGGGAGCAAACAGGAUUAGAUACCCGAGUAGUC
Molecule: ribosomal RNA, 450 nt
Filed under: uncultured bacterium
Lineage: Bacteria
Description: partial 16S ribosomal RNA
Rfam family: Bacterial small subunit ribosomal RNA
Source: RNAcentral